This 508-nucleotide ribosomal RNA is filed under the name uncultured bacterium. RNAcentral describes it as "bacterial SSU rRNA". It matches the Rfam family "Bacterial small subunit ribosomal RNA", at positions 173 to 676 of the family's 1533-position model. The record is from RNAcentral.
AUACGCCCUACAGGGGAAAGGAGGGGACCUUCGGGCCUUUCGCAAUUAGAUGAGUCUAGGUGGGAUUAGCUAGUAGGUGAGGUAAUGGCUCACCUAGGCGACGAUCCCUAGCUAGUCUGAGAGGAUGAUCAGCCACACUGGAACUGAGACACGGUCCAGACUCCUACGGGAGGCAGCAGUGGGGAAUAUUGCACAAUGGGCGAAAGCCUGAUGCAGCCAUGCCACGUGUGUGAAAAAGGCCUUCGGGUUGUAAAGCACUUUCAGCGAGGAGGAAAGGUAGGUAGUUAAUAACUGCUUACUGUGACGUUACUCGCAGAAGAAGCACCGGCUAACUUCGUGCCAGCAGCCGCGGUAAUACGAGGGGUGCAAGCGUUAAUCAGAAUUACUGGGCGUAAAGCGUACGCAGGCGGUUUAGUAAACCAGAUGUGAAAGCCCUAGGCUCAACCUAGGAAUUGCAUUUGGAACUGACAGACUAGAGUCUUGUAGAGGGGGGUAGAAUUUCAGGUGU